GUUUCCGUAGUGUAGUGGUUAUCACAUCCGCUUAACACGCGGAAGGUCCCCAGUUCGGACACGGGCGGAAACA
This 73-nucleotide transfer RNA is filed under the name Blattella germanica (German cockroach). RNAcentral's name for it is "tRNA-Val (AAC) (tRNA-Val-AAC-26-1)". It matches the Rfam family "tRNA". Rfam says of the family: Transfer RNA (tRNA) molecules are approximately 80 nucleotides in length. Their secondary structure includes four short double-helical elements and three loops (D, anti-codon, and T loops). The record is from RNAcentral. Lineage: Eukaryota; Metazoa; Arthropoda; Insecta; Blattodea; Blattellidae.